UACGAAGGGUGCUAGCGUUGUUCGGAAUUACUGGGCGUAAAGCGUAGGUAGGCGGUCUACCAAGUCAGGGGUGAAAUCCCGAGGCUCAACCUCGGAAUUGCCUUUGAAACUGGUAGGCUAGAGAAUGUUAGAGGCAAGUGGAAUUCCUAGUGUAGGAGUGAAAUCCGUAGAUAUUAGGAGGAACAUCAAUGGCGAAGGCAGCUUGCUGGGACAUUACUGACGCUGAGCUACGAAAGCGUGGGGAGCAAACAGG
This 253-nucleotide ribosomal RNA is filed under the name uncultured bacterium. RNAcentral's name for it is "partial 16S ribosomal RNA". It matches the Rfam family "Bacterial small subunit ribosomal RNA", at positions 524 to 776 of the family's 1533-position model. RNAcentral also lists the same sequence under 1 other name. The record is from RNAcentral.